This 440-nucleotide long non-coding RNA is filed under the name Mustela putorius furo (domestic ferret). RNAcentral's name for it is "lncRNA (ENSMPUG00000031983.1)". The record is from RNAcentral. Lineage: Eukaryota; Metazoa; Chordata; Mammalia; Carnivora; Mustelidae.
CCCUGGCGACUCACAGCCCGGGCUGCGGGCGAACCCGCGCGGAGGUGAGGCACCCGGCACAGCGAAGCGGACUCCGGGUGGGGUGGCCGCCGGCAGACGCGCAUCGCACUUCACCCUGCCGAGCACAGGAAGAAGUGUGGACUAUUCUGAAACAAAAUAUCUAUGUGAACAACUUUUCAAGAACAAAAAUAUAAAGAACCUCUUCACCAGAAUGAGAAUGUUUCUUAGAUAUCAUUGCUGCAAUGAAUCUAUUUGGAGAUGACAAUGUUAUAAGCACCUUGAGAGCGUCAUCUUGAAGUUUAUUCUGAUUGCUUUUGGAUUCAAAAACGAGAGCUGUGAAAAGCAAAGAGAGGCAAAGCGGCCCUAGCAGCAGCCCCCAGACCCGCCGCUCCAGGGACACCUCUGUCCCUGUUGGUCCCCACUGUCUGGCAGCAGGUGAG